This 497-nucleotide ribosomal RNA is filed under the name uncultured bacterium. RNAcentral describes it as "partial 16S ribosomal RNA". It matches the Rfam family "Bacterial small subunit ribosomal RNA", at positions 28 to 507 of the family's 1533-position model. The record is from RNAcentral.
GAUGAACGCUGGCGGCGUGCCUAAUACAUGCAAGUCGAGCGAACAGACGAGGAGCUUGCUCCUCUGACGUUAGCGGCGGACGGGUGAGUAACACGUGGAUAACCUACCUAUAAGACUGGGAUAACUUCGGGAAACCGGAGCUAAUACCGGAUAAUAUAUUGAACCGCAUGGUUCAAUAGUGAAAGACGGUUUUGCUGUCACUUAUAGAUGGAUCCGCGCCGCAUUAGCUAGUUGGUAAGGUAACGGCUUACCAAGGCAACGAUGCGUAGCCGACCUGAGAGGGUGAUCGGCCACACUGGGACUGAGACACGGUCCAGACUCCUACGGGAGGCAGCAGUAGGGAAUCUUCCGCAAUGGGCGAAAGCCUGACGGAGCAACGCCGCGUGAGUGAUGAAGGUCUUCGGAUCGUAAAACUCUGUUAUUAGGGAAGAACAAAUGUGGAAGUAACUAUGCACGUCUUGACGGUACCUAAUCAGAAAGCCACGGCUAACUACGUG